GUGAGGAAUAUUGGUCAAUGGGCGGGAGCCUGAACCAGCCAAGUCGCGUGAAGGAAGAAGGAUCUAUGGUUCGUAAACUUCUUUUGCAGGGGAAUAAAGUGCAGGACGUGUCCUGUUUUGUAUGUACCCUGAGAAUAAGGAUCGGCUAACUCCGUGCCAGCAGCCGCGGUAAUACGGAGGAUCCGAGCGUUAUCCGGAUUUAUUGGGUUUAAAGGGUGCGUUGGUGGUUUGAUAAGUCAGCGGUGAAAGUUUGCAGCUUAACUGUAAAAAUGCCGUUGAAACUGUCGGACUUGAGUGUAAAUGAGGUAGGCGGAAUGCGUGGUGUAGCGGUGAAAUGCAUAGAUAUCACGCAGAACUCCGAUUGCGAAGGCAGCUUACUAAGCUACAACUGACACUGAAGCACGAAAGCGUGGGGAUCAAACAGGAUUAGAUACCCGAGUAGUCC
Molecule: ribosomal RNA, 445 nt
Filed under: uncultured bacterium
Lineage: Bacteria
Description: partial 16S ribosomal RNA
Rfam family: Bacterial small subunit ribosomal RNA
Source: RNAcentral